UGGGGAAUAUUGGACAAUGGGCGAAAGCCUGAUCCAGCCAUGCCGCGUGUGUGAAGAAGGUCUUCGGAUUGUAAAGCACUUUAAGUUGGGAGGAAGGGCCAUUACCUAAUACGUGAUGGUUUUGACGUUACCGACAGAGUAAGCACCGGCUAACUCUGUGC
RNAcentral lists this ribosomal RNA (161 nucleotides) under uncultured bacterium. RNAcentral's name for it is "partial 16S ribosomal RNA". It matches the Rfam family "Bacterial small subunit ribosomal RNA", at positions 355 to 508 of the family's 1533-position model. The record is from RNAcentral.